AAUGAACGCUGGCGGUAGGCCUAACACAUGCAAGUCGAACGGAUCCUUCGGGAUUAGUGGCGGACGGGUGAGUAACGCGUGGGAACAUACCCUUUGUUACGGAAUAGCCUCGGGAAACUGGGAGUAAUACCGUAUGUGGUCGAGAUACGAAAGAUUUAUCGCCAAAGGAUUGGCCCGCGUUUGAUUAGGUAGUUGGUGGGGUAAUGGCCUACCAAGCCGACGAGCCAUAGCUGGUUUGAGAGGAUGAUAAGCCACACUGGGACUGAGACACGGCCCAGACUCCUACGGGACGCAGCAGUGUGGAAUCUUGGACAAUGGUGGAAACCCGGAUCUAGCCAUGCCGCGUGAUGGAUGAAGGCCUUAGUGUUGUAAAGAUCUUUCAGGUGGGAAGAUAAUGACUGUACCACCAGUAGAAGCCCCGGCUAACUCCGUGCCAGCAGCCGCGGUAA
RNAcentral lists this ribosomal RNA (449 nucleotides) under uncultured bacterium. Its description in RNAcentral is "partial 16S ribosomal RNA". It matches the Rfam family "Bacterial small subunit ribosomal RNA", at positions 29 to 523 of the family's 1533-position model. The record is from RNAcentral.